Molecule: long non-coding RNA, 437 nt
Filed under: Salmo salar (Atlantic salmon)
Lineage: Eukaryota; Metazoa; Chordata; Actinopteri; Salmoniformes; Salmonidae
Description: lncRNA (ENSSSAG00000108243.1, ENSSSAG00000111622.1)
Source: RNAcentral
AGGACCUGCUCCUCUCUGUGUCAUGGUGGGGAGGUAGAGGAAGGAGGUAGAGGAAGGUUGUUGAGGGCCUGCUCCUCUCUGUAUCAUGGUGAGGAGGUAGAGGAAGGUUGUUGAGGGCCUGCUCCUCUCUGUAUCAUGGUGAGGAGGUAGAGGAAGGUAGGACCUGCUCCUCUCUGUGUCAUGGUGAGGAGGUAGAGGAAGGUUGUUGAGGACCUGCUCCUCUCUGUAUCAUGGUGAGGAGGUAGAGGAAGAUUGUUGAGGACCUGCCCCUCUCUGUAUCAUGGUGAGGAGGUAGAGGAAGGUUGUUGAGGACCUGCUCCUCUCUGUUUCAUGGUGAGGAGGUAGAGGAAGGAAGGACCUGCUCCUCUCUGUAUCAUGGUGAGGAGGUAGAGGAAGGAAGGACCUGCUCCUCUCUGUAUCAUGGUGAGGAGGUAGAG